GUGCUUGCUUCAGCGGCACACAUACUACAAUUGGAACAAUACAGAGAUUAGCAUGGCCCCUGCGCAAGGAUGACAUGCAAAUUCAUGAAGCAUUUCAUAUACAU
Molecule: small nuclear RNA, 104 nt
Filed under: Theropithecus gelada (gelada)
Lineage: Eukaryota; Metazoa; Chordata; Mammalia; Primates; Cercopithecidae
Source: RNAcentral